Molecule: ribosomal RNA, 253 nt
Filed under: uncultured bacterium
Lineage: Bacteria
Description: partial 16S ribosomal RNA
Rfam family: Bacterial small subunit ribosomal RNA
Source: RNAcentral
UACGAAGGGGGCUAGCGUUGUUCGGAUUUACUGGGCGUAAAGCGCACGUAGGCGGAUCGUUAAGUCAGGGGUGAAAUCCUGGAGCUCAACUCCAGAACUGCCUUUGAUACUGGCGACCUUGAGUUCGGGAGAGGUGAGUGGAACUGCGAGUGUAGAGGUGAAAUUCGUAGAUAUUCGCAAGAACACCAGUGGCGAAGGCGGCUCACUGGCCCGAUACUGACGCUGAGGUGCGAAAGCGUGGGGAGCAAACAGG